This 484-nucleotide ribosomal RNA is filed under the name uncultured bacterium. RNAcentral describes it as "bacterial SSU rRNA". It matches the Rfam family "Bacterial small subunit ribosomal RNA", at positions 28 to 404 of the family's 1533-position model. The record is from RNAcentral.
GAUGAACGCUGGCGGCGUGCCUAAUACAUGCAAGUCGAGCGGUAAGGCUCCUGCAGUUUAUUUGAUUAUGAUUGCGCUCGCAGAGUAAACCAGUUUACUGGUGUGCGAAGCGAAGGCAAUCACAACAGACCCAAUCAACCCCGGCUAGGGAAGAGACGGCGAGGGAAAAUCGAAUGAAGUGCUGGAGUACACGAGCGGCGGACGGCUGAGUAACGCGUAGGAACGUACCCAAACUGAGGGAUAAGCACCAGAAAUGGUGUCUAAUACCGCAUGUGCUCUAAGGAGUAAAGCUUCGGCGGUUUGGGAACGGCCUGCGUACGAUUAGAUUGUUGGUGAGGUAAUGGCUCACCAAGUCGACGAUCGUUAGCUGGUCUGAGAGGAUGAUCAGCCAGACUGGGACUGAGAACGGCCCAGACUCCUACGGGAGGCAGCAGUAGGGAAUUUUCCACAAUGGACGAAAGUCUGAUGGAGCAACGCCGCGUCG